CGAACGGGUGAGUAACACGUGGGUGACCUGCCCUUAGCUCUGGGAUAAGCCUGGGAAACUGGGUCUAAUACCGGAUAUGACUCCAUGACGCAUGUUGUGGGGUGGAAAGCCUUGUGCGGCUAGGGAUGGGCCCGCGGCCUAUCAGCUUGUUGGUGGGGUGAUGGCCUACCAAGGCGACGACGGGUAGCCGGCCUGAGAGGGCGACCGGCCACACUGGGACUGAGACACGGUCCAG
Molecule: ribosomal RNA, 235 nt
Filed under: uncultured bacterium
Lineage: Bacteria
Description: partial 16S ribosomal RNA
Rfam family: Bacterial small subunit ribosomal RNA
Source: RNAcentral